AUUGAACGCUGUCGGCAUGCUUUACACAUGCAAGUCGGACUAGUUGCGAACGGGUGAGUACUAUAUUGGAAAGUACCGAGUAAGGGGGUAUAAACAAUCGAAAGAUUGGCUAAUACCGAAUAGUAUUCGAGCGGCCCAUAUCUGAUUAGCUCGUUGGUGGGGUAAAUGCCUACCAAGGCCACGAGAAGUAGCGGGUCUGAGAGGAUGAUACGCUACACUGUGAAGGCGACACGUCCCGGACUCCUAAGUGGGGCAUCAGUGGGGAAUUUUGGACAAUGGGCGGAAGCCUGAUCCAGCCAUGCCGCGGGUCUGAAGAAGGCCUUCGGGUUGUAAAGGACUUUUGUUAGUGAAGCGGUACCUAAAGAAUAAGCACCGGCUAACUACGUGCCAGCAGCCGCGGUAAUAC
This 406-nucleotide ribosomal RNA is filed under the name uncultured bacterium. Its description in RNAcentral is "partial 16S ribosomal RNA". It matches the Rfam family "Bacterial small subunit ribosomal RNA", at positions 30 to 526 of the family's 1533-position model. The record is from RNAcentral.